GUGCACCAGUCGCGAAUCCUCCGCAAUGCGCGAAAGCGCGACGGGGCCACCCCGAGUGCCGCCCGCUGAGGGCGGCUUUUCCCCGGUGUAGACAGCCGGGGGAAGUAAGGGGAGGGGCAAGUCUGGUGGUCAGCCGCCGCGGUAAUACCAGCUCCCCGAGUGGUGGGGACGAUUAUUGGGCCUAAAGCGUCCGUAGCCGGCCCGGCAAGUCUCCCGUUAAAUCCAGCGAUCUAAUCGCUGGACUGCGGGAGAUACUGUCGGG
This 262-nucleotide ribosomal RNA is filed under the name uncultured microorganism. RNAcentral describes it as "partial 16S ribosomal RNA". It matches the Rfam family "Archaeal small subunit ribosomal RNA", at positions 330 to 591 of the family's 1478-position model. The record is from RNAcentral.